GACAAAAAAAACACCCCUCAAAUUUUGGUAGACCAAUACCGCGUUGGAUUAACGCUCAAAAAAGAAAAAGAAAAAAAGAAAAAAGAAACCAAAAAACAAAAAUCCAGAAGGCGCCUUGUUCUUCUCCAUAUAUUAAACACUUACACGAAUCUGCUUUGCCAUUGCCAUUGCCUUUGUUGUUUUUUGUUGUUGUAUUUGGACAUUAAUCAAAUGAGGAAGGGCGGUAAGAGAAAAUCCACCUCUCAGAAACAAGAGACCGAAGUAAAAGCUUCGUCUUCUUCGCAAGAGAAUCAGAAGGAGAACCAUAAACUUGCUUCCCAAGCUAAGCGUGCUAAGACCUCCAAGCCUCAACCCCAGCUUGAGUACUUUGAAGAUAAGCGUAACUUGGAGGAUUUAUGGAAAGCUGCAUUUCCUGUUGGAACAGAGUGGGAUCAAUUGGACAGUGUUUACCAAUUCAACUGGAACUUUUCAAAUCUAGAAGAGGCAUUUGAAGAGGGGGGGAGGCUAUAUGGGAAGAAAGUUUAUCUCUUCGGUUGCACAGAGCCUCAAUUGGUUCCUUACAAGGGAGAAAACAAAGUCAUUUGUAUACCUGUGGUUGUGGCUGUUGUCUCUCCUUUCCCACCUUCAGAUAAGAUCGGUAUUAACUCUGUGCAGAGAGAAGCUGAAGAGAUUGUUCCAAUGAAACAAAUGAAAAUGGACUGGGUUCCAUAUAUUCCACUUGAGAAUAGAGACAGCCAAGUUGAUAGGCUGCAAUCUCAAAUGUUCAUCUUAAGUUGCACUCAAAGAAGUUCCUUCUGCAGGGUUGCUUUAAAACAAAUGAAAAUAGACCGUCUCAAGAAAUAUGAGUAUUGUCUGCCUUAUUUUUAUCAGCCUUUGAAGGAAGAUGAGCUUGAACAAAGCACCGAGGUUCAAAUAAUUUUUCCAGCGGCACAAAAGCCAGUUUUUUGUGAAUUUGAUUGGGAGCUGGAUGAACUUGAUGAGUUUACUGAUCAACUGAUUGAGGCAGACGAAUUAGAUAAAGAUAAAAAAGAUGCCUUUAAGGAGUUUGUCAAAGAGAGAGUCAGAGAAGCAAAGAAAGCUAAUCGGCAGGCAAGAGAAGCUCGCAAAAAGGCCCUUGAAGAAAUGAGUGAGGAAACCAAAGCCGCAUUUGAGAACAUGAGAUUUUACAAAUUCUACCCUAUUCCAACUCCAGAUACUCCUGAUGUAUCAAAUGUGAAGGCUCCUUUCAUAAACAGGUAUUAUGGGAAGGCUCAUGAGGUUCUCUAACGGAGUUUCCAUUUAGGAUGUAAUGUAAGUUGUUGAGAGAUGUUCUAAAGCCCGUGCUGGCUUGCAAGAGUGUCAUAUCAGGCAUGUAUCUGUGACUCAGUAUCUUUGGAAGCUUUCAUCUGGUGUCCCAUCAAAGUCAGGUAUCUUAGGAGAAAGCUUUAAACCCCAAAGCUAUUUAGAUAAUUUAAUCAGAUGAUUGUCUCUUGACAAUAGGAGGAAUUUGUAGAAUACUCUGAUGAGGUUUUUCCGAAAAGUUUUGAAUGACUUCUUAUGGUCAGGAGCUAAAAGUUCUUCCCUUGAGUAACUAGCUGGGGCUUUACAUCCUUCUGAUUCGAAUAGAACAGUGAUCUUCGGACCCCAAAUGGAGAAGCAGCAUGCUGUUCAUCCUGUGUGAUAUGAUAUAACAGGUUCAUGAAGUAUGAAUAACACAGGACAUUACAUUUGAGAGGAAAUGCAACAAGGAUAGAAUCUCCGGUGGGGAAAAAUCAAUAGUAUCAUAACAGUGCGUAUGAAAAGUGAGCAAAUAAGCCACUGCAAGAAUCAUUGAGACACCAAACAUCAUUUGGCAUUUCGACAGUGUGGGCCCUAAAUUGAAAGAUGGCACUGGCCACCGGCCAUUGGAUCCGCGGGGGUUCACUAUAUUGAAAUCAAAAGGCAAAGCAUCAUUUAGUGUUUCUGAAACGUUUGAGGUUAUCUUAGGGGAAAUAUCGCAAAGAAAAAAAAAAGCAAUUUACUAUGAUGUAUUUGAGUGUGUUUUGCGUUUAAAACUGUUGUUUUCAUGUGUAUUUGAGCGAUUACCGAACACAAAUUGAAAUUAAAAAUGCACCUAAUCUAACGGUCAAACAAAUCAAAAUAGAUCAGAACACUGAAUUCUAAACCAAAA
This is an RNA transcript of Gossypium raimondii (Peruvian cotton), 2149 nucleotides long. It is a transcript of the gene named protein HEAT INTOLERANT 4, with no coding region annotated. Lineage: Eukaryota; Viridiplantae; Streptophyta; Magnoliopsida; Malvales; Malvaceae. The transcript is spliced from 15 exons. The record is from RefSeq and is a predicted model, not a curated record.